This 2579-nucleotide long non-coding RNA is filed under the name Sorghum bicolor (sorghum). RNAcentral describes it as "long non-coding RNA (SBIC_LNC009439)". The record is from RNAcentral. Lineage: Eukaryota; Viridiplantae; Streptophyta; Magnoliopsida; Poales; Poaceae.
AUGAUAGAAAAUUGGUGCACACGUUAAUAUCUCUAUGUAAACCUGACAUGUGGCCCUUUUCUCCAUAUUUCCUGAUAACCCCUUGCAGAAAUAGAGAAACACCAAAACUUGUGGAAUUCUGUCAGAUAAAACCUUAAGUCUGGGUGUUGGUUGCAUUUGGAUCCUUUUCUUUGUUUAUUUGAUAAUUAAAUUUGGUACUUAAGGACCGUCAACAACUCCCCCAAGCUUACCUCUUGCUCAUCCCUGAGUAAGGAUGGACUCAAGAGUUUUUGUAGUGGUUUCAUGCCUUAAAGGUACACAUGCGUUCAAACAAGAUCUCAUCUCUAGGUUAGGGUAAAUUGUUAUGAUUUAAACUUACUCAUAUUACCUUCCACCAUGGGGCUUGCAAUCAUCACUUGUGUCUUGAGCAGUUAAAAGAUAGAACGGUCAAGUCAAGCGCCAUGUCUCUUGUUCUUGAUCAACUAUAGCUCUGGAGUUUUUGUAGAUUUUCAAAUAAAACUCAGAGAUUCCUUUGUAUGACUCUCUCAAAUCUCUCUUUUGUGUUAUUUCUGGAUCCUUACCAAGGCAGUGAUGGUAUAUGCCUUCUCUCAAAGCAUGUGACAUUUUUGGUAUGAGGCAUAGUGAGAUUGCCUUCUCUCUCACCCUACUCUAAUAAGGUUUUUGAUAUCUGGAGCUCAUAGGUGGGAGACAGCUAAUACAUACUUACAAGACAUUUAUUGCAUAGUCAAACCAUAGAUCCAAAGAAACAAGUCAAUAAGUCAAAUCAAGAUGUGCAUGUGUGGCGAAUGAAUGGUGUAUGGUGAUGAUGGUGAAAGUCUAAUUCUACUUUUGCUCUUUUGAGGGGAUACAUAGCUUUCUUGCACUUUGAAGCUUUUUGAGGGGAAUGAGAUGCUCUAUAUUUUAUUUUUCUUUUCUCUCAGGUGGGUAUCUUGUACCCCUAAUUCUACUAUCGGACACUUGUCCAUUUUUACCUCUCGUCUCACUUUUUCUUUUUUUCGAGGUUCUGGGCACUUGCCCCUUUUUAUUUCCUCGUAUUCAUUUUUUUAGAGCACUCACCCUCCUGGAAUAAUGUAGCAAGUGGUAGUAACCAAAAUAUCUCGAGCAUUUAUUUCACAGGGAAAAACACGAAUGGGAUAAUGUUUUUGGCUAUUCUUCCCGGAUGGGAGUAUAAUAAUUUUGGGAGAGUCUAGAGAUGGAAUUGAGUGGAUGUAUGUGGAUGCGUACUUCCUGAGUAGAAGUAGCAUGUAUGAGUGAACGUGCAUGACAAGCUCCUAAGGGUCUACACAGCUUGACCACACUCAAUGCUCAUAAGCAGUAAAUAGUAAAUGUAUGGUUCAUAGUCUAAUAAACAUGUAUAUAUGGCUGUGGUAGGAUUUUAAACUCUCAUCAUACAGGAACUCAUCAUGUAACAUUUUAAACAUUUUCAAACAUAAAAUUCUCCAGAAUUCUAGCAUCUCUAGGAACAGAUAAACAACAGCUCAACCUUUCCAUAUCAUAUAUGUUAACGACUUAGACUUUAGAUCAAGUACUCUUCCCACAAGUUCAGGUUUAAAGCAAAUCUUAAUUCAUAACAGUCUUGCCUAAACUUGAGAGAGAAUUCAAUUUUGAGAACUAGUCAUGGCAGAGCGACUAUUCAUCAUUUCCAUGUGAGAGCUUAUCAUGAGGGUUCAUAGCAAACUUUAUUUAUUUAUUUAUUUAGCAAACUGAGCAAAGAUAUAUAUAUAUAUAUAUAUAUAUAUAUAUAUAUAUAUAUAUAUAUAUAUAUAUAUAUAUAUAUAUAUAUACACACACAUAUAAGCAUAAACUCUUUAUUUGGGUUUUUAUGAUUAUGCAUCUUUUUAGUAGAAACACUUAGCUAGAUAAAUGGGGGUGCUCUCCCCCAAGCUGGAUUUUGAUGUAAUUUUUUCUGAUGUAGCUAGCAGGUGGUGGAGGUAUAUUUGAAUGUCGGCAGCACCCUGACAGCGAUUAGAAUGUCCUCCGUCUGCUAGUCUUCUUUGAUCUUUGAAUUCUGUGGAGCUCAAAUAGACAACAAAGCUUUGUGGAACUAGUUAAGUGUUAGCAUAAAUAUCUAGCCUUUGUCAUGUUGAGCCUCCUCAAUAAAUGUUACUCUCUUUGGUAGGAUCAUAAAUUUAUUUUUAUAUUUUCAUUUUUAUAGGACUGGAAUAUUUUUAUUUUUACGCCACCACAGUGAAUGUACUUAUGGGUUUUAUACCACGAGCAUACUCACAUGGGGCUUACUGUUUUAACAUUUUUAAUUUCUUUUCAAGAUAGCAUGAUUAACUGACAAGCUAUUAAGGAAAGUCAAUAAUUUAAGGGAAAAAGGAAUGCAUAAAGGAUAAAUAUGGAUAACUACCGAUUUUACCUUUCGGCGAGGGUUCAAUAUUUUAAGUCUUCUGAACAAGACUUCUCAUCGUGUUCAUUCUUUAGGUGCGUCAUUUGAUUCAGGUGUGGACCUUGACGUCUGCACCUCUUCAUACGGUGUCACCCAUGUUCUUCGUUUGCCUAGCAGUUCGAAGUGCGACGUUGGCAGUAUCUUGCUCACUGUGUUUGUGCUCAUAGAUCUAGGUCCUUCACAUGGU